Molecule: long non-coding RNA, 445 nt
Organism: Carassius carassius (crucian carp)
Lineage: Eukaryota; Metazoa; Chordata; Actinopteri; Cypriniformes; Cyprinidae
Exons: 3
Source: RefSeq, a predicted model, not a curated record
CAAAAGCAACGCUCAACUGCAGGGAAAAUGGCAUUAAAAGGUGAGUUUAACAACGCUCCAAGGCGCGUGCAAGUAAGCAGUUUAACAGUUUUCUUACAACCCAUUCUCGCUUAUCGCUUAUUCAUAGUUUAUCACUAUGAAAUCACGUUCAAGAAGUCUCAUUCAGCACACAUCGCGAUACUUGCCAUCAGUUUACAUUUGCCACAGGUUCGCUGAAAAGAUGUAAAGGAAGCAGUCAUCCCUGUGGUGUUUGUGGAGAGGUAUUCCUUCAGAAAUGGAGAAGACAGAAAGCUGCGGAGGCAGACAUUUGCAGCAGACUGUUUGGAGAUAAUGCUGUUCUUCUCCAUCAUGCACAAGGACUCACCUCUUUAACUCUUUAUCUCCCCACCACACACAGAAAUGGUCCCUGGAUCAGUGAUUAGACUUUGCAGUCAGGUUUGCUUUU